AUUGAACGCUGGCGGCAGGCCUAACACAUGCAAGUCGAGCGGAUGAAGGGAGCUUGCUCCUGGAUUCAGCGGCGGACGGGUGAGUAAUGCCUAGGAAUCUGCCUGGUAGUGGGGGAUAACGUCCGGAAACGGGCGCUAAUACUGCAUACGUCCUGAGGGGGAAAGUGGGGGAUCUUCGGACCUCACGCUAUCAGAUGAGCCUAGGUCGGAUUAGCUAGUUGGUGGGGUAAAGGCCUACGAAGGCGACGAUCCGUAACUGGACUGAGAGGAUGAUCAGUCACACUGGAAGUGUGACACGGCACAGAGUCAUGCGGGAAGGGCCAGUGUGGAAUAUUGGGCAAUGGGCGAAAGCCAGAUCCAACCGUGCCGCGUGUGUGAAGAAGGUCUUGGGAUUGUAAAGCACAUUAAGUUGGGAUGAAGGGCAUUAAGUUAAUACCUUGCUAAUUUGACGGUACCAACAGAAUAAGCACCGGCUAACUUCGUG
RNAcentral lists this ribosomal RNA (484 nucleotides) under uncultured bacterium. Its description in RNAcentral is "partial 16S ribosomal RNA". It matches the Rfam family "Bacterial small subunit ribosomal RNA", at positions 30 to 507 of the family's 1533-position model. The record is from RNAcentral.